Long non-coding RNA from Cyprinus carpio (common carp), 1444 nucleotides. RefSeq lists it as uncharacterized. Lineage: Eukaryota; Metazoa; Chordata; Actinopteri; Cypriniformes; Cyprinidae. The transcript has 5 exons. The record is from RefSeq and is a predicted model, not a curated record.
UGAAAGUGUGUUUUUUUCAGAGGCCAUUUUGUGCCUAAAGGACUCCAUCGCGUUAUCAAAGUACCAGAAAGAUAUCUGUGGAAUAAACUGCAGAUCAUUUUGUGGAUGGGUGUGUAAGAGAUCAGACUCAUCUGAUCCACCUUUGCAGCUCCAAUAUGGAUGACGCACAGACAUCCAGUGAUGGAGACUUUUGUCCAGGAAUCAGUUCAGUCCAGCAGAAGAGAACAGGAUCAGCAGAGCCCAGCUGUGUGUCUAUGAGGAGCGAUCAGUCUAUGAAUCCACCACUGUUUUUGAAUGAUGGAAACACAUUACCUGGCUGCAAGUCCAAUAUUUCUGCAAACACAUGUUCAGUCAAGCCUAUGAGAACAGAAUCAGCAGAGCCCCAGCUGUGUGUCAAUGAAGAGUGAUCAGUCUAUGAACCCACCACUGUUUUUUAAUGAUGGAAACACAUCAUCUAGCAGCAGAAAGAGAAAACACUGCAUGAAGAUGAAUCUACCAAAACCCAGCCAUGUUCCUGUGAAGAGGGACUGUUCAGUGGAUCAGCCAAUACUUUCCACUGGUGGAAACGCUGCCUGCUGGUACAGUUUAUAAUGUUUUGUAUCCUUCAGGACUAAGUCUUAUAUUUACUUUUUGAAAACAUAGCAAUACCAGCAGUCCACAGUGCCGGUAGUAGCGACCUGCUGACAGGUGGCUGCUCAGAAGAACAUCAAAGCUUUCAAUUUACAUGUUUUUGCAACAUUGUAGCCAAUCACAGGUAUGUUUGUUGAGUAUGUGAACAGAAUGGCCAAUCAGAGGCAUGUAAUGGCAAGUUCACACUACAGGAUUUUAAGAUCUAUUUGCAACUCAAUGAGUUUGCUAACAGGUCGGACUUUGAUUGAGGGAAAGUCAAUGGGUGAUCAGAUAGAAAAGUCCAUUUGUUGCCAAGUGUAAACGGGCCGUGUUCUGAUUGACUGAUGAUCCGAUCAAGCAGUUUACACUUGGCAACAUCAAUGGACUUUUUCUAUCUGGAUAACCGAUCGGAUCUGUCUUUCCCGCACAAUAUAUAAGUAAGUCUGCAGAGAAUGGCCCAGUGGAAAGUUAACCUGAAGUGUUGGGUUUUCUUUUGAAAAACAUUUUCAGUCAUGGGACAUUUUCCAAAUCAAAGAUAAGUGUAGGAGACUCAGUCCCCAGAUGGGUGUUCUCCGUCUUUUUUUCUGUCAGUUCGCGAUAGUGGGGACUGCGUUUUGCGUGAUGUCGACAUGCAAAUGCAGACACGAUGGCUGGAUUGUGUUUACAUUACACUGAGAUCCGAUCACAAUGCGUCCUCGACUACCUCUGGACCAGGACACGCUGAUCGGAUACUUUCCGAUCAGAAGUGCAUUUACACUUGUCUUUUCAAUGUGUAUGUGGACAACAUCCGGAUACAGGUCGCAUGUUAAUGCCAUGUGUAAAUGCAGACAAAGAG